This 468-nucleotide ribosomal RNA is filed under the name uncultured bacterium. Its description in RNAcentral is "partial 16S ribosomal RNA". It matches the Rfam family "Bacterial small subunit ribosomal RNA", at positions 28 to 507 of the family's 1533-position model. The record is from RNAcentral.
GACGAACGCUGGCGGCGUGCUUAACACAUGCAAGUCGAACGGAAAGGCCCUGCUUUUGUGGGGUGCUCGAGUGGCGAACGGGUGAGUAACACGUGAGUAACCUGCCCUUGACUUUGGGAUAACUUCAGGAAACUGGGGCUAAUACCGGAUAGGAGCUCCUGCUGGAUGGUGGGGGUGGGAAAGUUUCGGGGGUUGGGGAUGGACUCGCGGCUUAUCAGCUUGUUGGUGGGGUAGGGGCUUACCAAGGGUUUGACGGGUAGCCGGCCUGAGAGGGUGACCGGCAAAAUUGGGACUGAGAUACGGCCCAGACUCCUACGGGAGGCAGCAGUGGGGAAUAUUGCACAAUGGGCGGAAGCCUGAUGAAGCAACGCCGCGUGCGGGAUGACGGCCUUCGGGUUGUAAACCGCUUUCGCCUGUGACGAAGCGUGAGUGACGGUAAUGGGUAAAGAAGCACCGGCUAACUACGUG